RNAcentral lists this ribosomal RNA (490 nucleotides) under uncultured bacterium. RNAcentral describes it as "partial 16S ribosomal RNA". It matches the Rfam family "Bacterial small subunit ribosomal RNA", at positions 28 to 507 of the family's 1533-position model. The record is from RNAcentral.
GAUGAACGCUAGCGAUAGGCUUAACACAUGCAAGUCGAGGGGCAGCAUGGUCUUAGCUUGCUAAGACUGAUGGCGACCGGCGCACGGGUGCGUAACGCGUAUGCAACUUGCCUCACAGAGGGGGAUAACCCGUCGAAAGACGGACUAAUACCGCGUACACUCUAUUUUGGGCAUCCAAGGUAGAGGAAAUGAAAUUCGCUGUGGGAUAGGCAUGCGUCCCAUUAGCUAGUUGGUGAGGUAACGGCUCACCAAGGCGACGAUGGGUAGGGGAACUGAGAGGUUGAACCCCCACACUGGUACUGAGACACGGACCAGACUCCUACGGGAGGCAGCAGUGAGGAAUAUUGGUCAAUGGGCGAGAGCCUGAACCAGCCAAGUCGCGUGAAGGAUGACUGUCUUAUGGAUUGUAAACUUCUUUUGUAGGGGAAUAAAGAGGGGCACGUGUGCCCCAGUGAAUGUACCCUACGAAUAAGCAUCGGCUAACUCCGUG